UGGGGAAUUUUGGACAAUGGGGGAAACCCUGAUCCAGCCAUCCCGCGUGUGCGAUGAAGGCCUUCGGGUUGUAAAGCACUUUUGGCAGGAAAGAAACGUCAUGGGUUAAUACCCCGUGAAACUGACGGUACCUGCAGAAUAAGCACCGGCUAACUACGUGCCAGCAGCCGCGGUAAUACGUAGGGUGCAAGCGUUAAUCGGAAUUACUGGGCGUAAAGCGUGCGCAGGCGGUUCGGAAAGAGAGAUGUGAAAUCCCAGAGCUCAACUUUGGAACUGCAUUUUUAACUACCGGGCUAGAGUGUGUCAGAGGGAGGUGGAAUUCCGCGUGUAGCAGUGAAAUGCGUAGAUAUGCGGAGGAACACCGAUGGCGAAGGCAGCCUCCUGGGAUAACACUGACGCUCAUGCACGAAAGCGUGGGGAGCAAACAGG
This 429-nucleotide ribosomal RNA is filed under the name Acidobacteriota bacterium. RNAcentral's name for it is "Acidobacteria bacterium partial 16S ribosomal RNA". It matches the Rfam family "Bacterial small subunit ribosomal RNA", at positions 355 to 776 of the family's 1533-position model. Lineage: Bacteria; Pseudomonadati; Acidobacteriota. The record is from RNAcentral.